RNAcentral lists this ribosomal RNA (263 nucleotides) under uncultured bacterium. Its description in RNAcentral is "partial 16S ribosomal RNA". It matches the Rfam family "Bacterial small subunit ribosomal RNA", at positions 793 to 1055 of the family's 1533-position model. The record is from RNAcentral.
GUCCACGCCGUAAACGAUGUCAACUUGGAGUCUGUGCCAUUGAGCGUGGGCUCCGAAGCUAACGCGAUAAGUUGACCGCCUGGGGAGUACGGCCGCAAGGUUAAAACUCAAAUGAAUUGACGGGGGCCCCGCACAAGCGGUGGAGCAUGUGGUUUAAUUCGAUGCAACGCGAAGAACCUUACCUGGCCUUGACAUGUCUGGAACCUUGUAGAGAUACGAGGGUGCCUUCGGGAAUCAGAACACAGGUGCUGCAUGGCUGUCGU